UACAGAGGGUGCGAGCGUUGUUCGGAAUUAUUGGGCGUAAAGCGCGCGUAGGCGGCUUUGCAAGUCGGGUGUGAAAUCCCCAGGCUCAACCUGGGAACUGCAUUCGAGACUGCAUUGCUAGAGUAUGGGAGAGGGAAGUGGAAUUUCAGGUGUAGCGGUGAAAUGCGUAGAUAUCUGAAGGAACAUCAGUGGCGAAAGCGACUUCCUGGACCAAUACUGACGCUCAUGUGCGAAAGCGUGGGGAGCAAACAGG
RNAcentral lists this ribosomal RNA (253 nucleotides) under uncultured bacterium. Its description in RNAcentral is "partial 16S ribosomal RNA". It matches the Rfam family "Bacterial small subunit ribosomal RNA", at positions 524 to 776 of the family's 1533-position model. The record is from RNAcentral.